RNAcentral lists this ribosomal RNA (426 nucleotides) under uncultured Desulfovibrionaceae bacterium. RNAcentral describes it as "bacterial SSU rRNA". It matches the Rfam family "Bacterial small subunit ribosomal RNA", at positions 356 to 774 of the family's 1533-position model. The record is from RNAcentral. Lineage: Bacteria; Pseudomonadati; Thermodesulfobacteriota; Desulfovibrionia; Desulfovibrionales; Desulfovibrionaceae.
UGGGAAUAUUGCGCAAUGGGCGAAAGCCUGACGCAGCGACGCCGCGUGCGGGAUGAAGGUUCUCGGAUCGUCAACCUCUGUCCGCAGGGAAGACACCGCACCGUGCUAAUCAUCGUUGCCUUCACGGUUCCUUCCAAGGCAGCACCCGCUAACCCCGUGCCAGCAGCCGCGGUAAUACGGAGGGUGCAAGCGUUAAUCGGAAUUACUGGGCGUAAAGCGCACGUAGGCUGCUUUGUAAGUCAGGGGUGAAAUCCCACGGCUCAACCGUGGAACUGCCUUUGAUACUGCUUAGCUUGAAUCCGGGAGAGGGUGGCGGAAUUCCAGGUGUAGGAGUGAAAUCCGUAGAUAUCUGGAGGAACAUCAGUGGCGAAGGCGGCCACCUGGACCGGUAUUGACGCUGAGGUGCGAAAGCGUGGGGAGCAAACA